RNAcentral lists this long non-coding RNA (1292 nucleotides) under Bos indicus x Bos taurus (hybrid cattle). Its description in RNAcentral is "lncRNA (ENSBIXG00000000767.1)". The record is from RNAcentral. Lineage: Eukaryota; Metazoa; Chordata; Mammalia; Artiodactyla; Bovidae.
GCCCAUGGUGGAUGCAUAGGGAGGGAAGGGCACAACAGGCAUGCCUUUAGGGGGCCACGUCCUGGGAAUCCUGCCCCAGGCCGCCAGCAUCCAGCUCGAGGGCUGUCAGUUGCAGAGCUAGGCCCUGGCAUCUCUGAAGGACAAGGCAGCAUCCUUUUCUGUGCUGAGUCUUUCUAACACUGAAUGAUCUUCAGCCUUCGGGUGUGCUGCGAGUCCGUGGGUGGCAGGGGAAGCAGGAGACAGUAUCAUGAAAGAUGCAUUCAACUCCCAGGGCGAUUUCUGGUCUCCUUGGCUCAGAUGGCAAAGAAUCUGCCUGCAAUGCAGGAGAUCCCUGGGUCAGGAAGGUCUCCAGGACUGGGAAAUGGCAACCCACUCCAGUUUUCUUGUCUGGAGAAUCCCCAUGGACAGAGGAGCCCGACGGACUGCAGUCCAUGGGGUCAUAAAGAGUUGGACACGACUGAGCGACUAACAACACUUUUUCCUAUUGUAGAAUGACUGGUUCCUUCUCCAGCCUAGAACGAUAAAGUGACUUUUAUUUUUUAUUUUUAUAUUUUUUGAUAAAGUGACUUUAAAGGCAAGUCACUUUUCGGACAAAAGCUAUCUCUUUUGUCUUCCCUCCCUCCGCAUCUGCCGCGUCUCCGAAUAGUGACUUUAUACUGGCUGGGUAUUUUCUUUUUUUCAAUCCUCCGAUGGCAGAGGUGAGGCGCGCAGGCACCCGGAACUGUGGUUCGCGGGUGUUUGUUUCCCGCCGGGACAGAUGCCUCGGGCCCCGCCCGGCCGCAAUGGGAGCCGGAAGAGGGCUUCGGGCUCUUAGAGUCCAUCUCCACCGCGCCGCGGACGGAUGUCCCAGGGCCGCGUCUCGGGCCACUUCCCGCCGCGCUCGGACCCGAGAGGCUCCCGCACUGCCAGCCGGCGCCGGGAGGCAGGGCCUGAGCUCCGCACGGCCGGAGAGGCCCGAGCGGCGCGGUGCGUCCGCUGGGGCGCCCGCUCAGACGCAGGCACGCGGGGCGGAACGACUCGGAGCUGGAGGCCCGGCGGCUGGCCCAGCACGUCCAGGACCGCUCGGCUGGAAGGGAUUUCCUGGACGGUGGAGGGACCGCAGGGGCCCCGUAGAGGCUCCCGUUUCUGCUAUCCUGGCCAGCGGGGAGAAGCAGGAGUCUCUUGUUGGAUCCCUGACUCUCCCACAGUCUCUCUUCAUAGCCUGGGAUCGAUCACCACCCAUCCUGGACUCAGUUUCUGUGAGAUGGGACAGAAUGAAGCGUCCUUAUCAGGUGAGCUGCAAACUCACCUAA